Molecule: ribosomal RNA, 274 nt
Filed under: uncultured bacterium
Lineage: Bacteria
Description: partial 16S ribosomal RNA
Rfam family: Bacterial small subunit ribosomal RNA
Source: RNAcentral
AUACGAACCGUACAAACGUUAUUCGGAAUUAUUGGGCUUAAAGGGUGCGUAGGCGGCGCAGUCAGUGAGGUUUGAAAUCCCUCGGCUCAACCGAGGAAUUGCGCUUCAUACUGCUGUGCUCGAGGGAGACAGGGGUAAGCGGAACUGAUGGUGGAGCGGUGAAAUGCGUUGAUAUUAUCAGGAACACCAGUGGCGAAAGCGGCUUACUGGGUCUCUUCUGACGCUGAGGCACGAAAGCUAGGGUAGCGAACGGGAUUAGAAACCCUGGUAGUCC